AGCGAACAGACGAGGAGCUUGCUCCUCUGACGUUAGCGGCGGACGGGUGAGUAACACGUGGAUAACCUACCUAUAAGACUGGGAUAACUUCGGGAAACCGGAGCUAAUACCGGAUAAUAUAUUGAACCGCAUGGUUCAAUAGUGAAAGACGGUUUUGCUGUCACUUAUAGAUGGAUCCGCGCCGCAUUAGCUAGUUGGUAAGGUAACGGCUUACCAAGGCAACGAUGCGUAGCCGACCUGAGAGGGUGAUCGGCCACACUGGAACUGAGACACGGUCCAGACUCCUACGGGAGGCAGCAGUAGGGAAUCUUCCGCAAUGGGCGAAAGCCUGACGGAGCAACGCCGCGUGAGUGAUGAAGGUCUUCGGAUCGUAAAACUCUGUUAUUAGGGAAGAACAAAUGUGUAAGUAACUAUGCUCGUCUUGACGGUACCUAAUCAGAAAGCCACGGCUAACUACGUGCCAGCAGCCGCGGUAAUACGUAGGUGGCAAGCGUUAUCCGGAAUUAUUGGGCGUAAAGCGCGCGUAGGCGGUUUUUUAAGUCUGAUGUGAAAGCCCACGGCUCAACCGUGGAGGGUCAUUGGAAACUGGAAAACUUGAGUGCAGAAGGGGAAAGUGGAAUUCCAUGUGUAGCGGUGAAAUGCGGCAGAGAUAUGGAGGACACCAGUGGCGAAGGCGACUUUCUGGUCUGUAACUGACGCUGAUGUGCGAAAGCGUGGGGAUCAAACAGGAUU
RNAcentral lists this ribosomal RNA (732 nucleotides) under uncultured Staphylococcus sp. Its description in RNAcentral is "bacterial SSU rRNA". It matches the Rfam family "Bacterial small subunit ribosomal RNA", at positions 65 to 779 of the family's 1533-position model. Lineage: Bacteria; Bacillati; Bacillota; Bacilli; Caryophanales; Staphylococcaceae. The record is from RNAcentral.